RNAcentral lists this long non-coding RNA (458 nucleotides) under Olea europaea subsp. europaea. The record is from RNAcentral. Lineage: Eukaryota; Viridiplantae; Streptophyta; Magnoliopsida; Lamiales; Oleaceae.
CGAUUAACUUUCCCUUUUUUUCUUUUUUUUUUCUUUUUUCCCCCUAUUUGUGUAAAUUGCCUUGACUAGGAUGCCUACAUUGUGAUUGCCUGCCUACAAAGGGGGCCAACUUAUGGCCCGUAUUUGACCCAGGUUUGGUCCGGGCUUUUCAAGGGCUGCUGGAAAUGCGUGGCCCAUUUUGACAUCUCAUUGACCAGUAAAAGAAGCUUUAAAAAUAAUGUCUAUUUCUUCUUGCUUAUGUCUCAAACAUGUAAAUUGUUUUAAUUAAUUGGAUUUUAAUGAUCAGAGCUUUCGCAUAUUUCUUAAAAAUGAAAGGCACGUUUUCAUAAUUUGAGUGGUUAAUUUGAAAAAUAUAAAAGAGAAACAUAUACAGUAUUCAAUAUAAUAUGAUACAUAUAACAUGUGUCUUGAUUUUAAUGGAUGGUCUAUCGCAUAGACACAAUAUCAUGAUAUCGAAU